GCCGGCGUAGCUCAGUGGUAGAGCGAGGCAUUCAUAAAGCCUAGGCCGCAGGUCCGAUCCCUGCCGUCGGCACCA
This 75-nucleotide transfer RNA is filed under the name bacterium. RNAcentral's name for it is "tRNA-Met". It matches the Rfam family "tRNA". From Rfam's summary of the family: Transfer RNA (tRNA) molecules are approximately 80 nucleotides in length. The record is from RNAcentral.